GAUACGACCGUACCGCAAACCGACACUGGUGCGCGAGAUGAGUAUUCUAAGGCGCUUGAGAGAACUCAGGAGAAGGAACUCGGCAAAUUGACACCGUAACUUCGGAAGAAGGUGUGCCCUAUUAGUGUGUAGUGAACAACGAAGCAUGAAUGGGUUGCAAAAAAUCGGUGGCUGCGACUGUUUAUUAAAAACACAGCACUCUGCAAACACGAAAGUGGACGUAUAGGGUGUGACGCCUGCCCGGUGCUGGAAGAUUAAAUGAUGGGGUGCAAGCUCUUGAUUGAAGUCCCAGUAAACGGCGGCCGUAACAAUAACGGUCCUAAGGUAGCGAAAUUCCUUGUCGGGUAAGUUCCGACCUGCACGAAUGGCGUAACGAUGGCCACACUGUCUCCUCCUGAGACUCAGCGAAGUUGAAAUGUUUGUGAUGAUGCAAUCUCCCCGCGGAAAGACGGAAAGACCCCAUGAACCUUUACUGUAGCUUUGUAUUGGACUUUGAACAGAUCUGUGUAGGAUAGGUGGGAGGCUUUGAAGCAGGGUCGCUAGAUCUUGUGGAGCCAACGUUGAAAUACCACCCUGGUGUGUUUGAGGUUCUAACCUAGGUCCAUUAUCUGGAUCGGGGACAGUGCAUGGUAGGCAGUUUGACUGGGGCGGUCUCCUCCCAAAGCGUAACGGAGGAGUUCGAAGGUACGCUAGUUACGGUCGGACAUCGUGACGAUAGUGCAAUGGCAUAAGCGUGCUUAACUGCGAGACUGACAAGUCGAGCAGAUGCGAAAGCAGGACAUAGUGAUCCGGUGGUUCUGUAUGGAAGGGCCAUCGCUCAACGGAUAAAAGGUACUCUGGGGAUAACAGGCUGAUACCGCCCAAGAGUUCAUAUCGACGGCGGUGUUUGGCACCUCGAUGUCGGCUCAUCUCAUCCUGGGGCUGUAGCCGGUCCCAAGGGUAUGGCUGUUCGCCAUUUAAAGAGGUACGUGAGCUGGGUUUAAAACGUCGUGAGACAGUUUGGUCCCUAUCUUCCGUGGGCGCUGCAGAUUUGAGGAAGCCUGCUCCUAGUACGAGAGGACCGGAGUGGACACACCUCUGGUGUAUCGGUUGUCACGCCAGAGGCAUUGCCGAGUAGCUAAGUGUGGAAGAGAUAACCGCUGAAAGCAUCUAAGCGGGAAACUCGUUUCAAGAUGAGAUCUGCCGGGGCCUUGAGCCCCCUAAAGAGUCGUUCAAGACCAGGACGUUGAUAGGUCAGGUGUGGAAGC
RNAcentral lists this ribosomal RNA (1247 nucleotides) under metagenome. RNAcentral describes it as "bacterial LSU rRNA". It matches the Rfam family "Bacterial large subunit ribosomal RNA", at positions 1635 to 2874 of the family's 2925-position model. The record is from RNAcentral.